This 433-nucleotide ribosomal RNA is filed under the name uncultured bacterium. RNAcentral's name for it is "partial 16S ribosomal RNA". It matches the Rfam family "Bacterial small subunit ribosomal RNA", at positions 28 to 507 of the family's 1533-position model. The record is from RNAcentral.
GACGAACGCUGGCGGCGUGCCUAACACAUGCAAGUCGAACGAGACCUUCGGGUCUUGGGGCGCACGUGUGCGUCACGCGUGGGAACCUGCCCUUAGGUUCCGAAUACCUCCCCGAGAGGGAUGCUAAUGCCGGAUAAUCUCUUAGAACCAACGAUUUAUCGCCUUUGGAUGGGCCCGCGUUGGAUUCGCUGGUUGGUAGGGUAAAAGCCUACCAUGGCGACGAUGCAUGGCUGGUCUGUUAGGAUGAUCCGCUACACUGGGACUGCGACACGGCCUAGAAUCGGACGGGAGGGAGCAGUGUAGAACAGUGUACAAGGGACGAAAGCGUGAUAAAGCAAUGCCGCGUGAGUGAUGAAUCGCGUAGGGUAGCAAAGUUGUUUUAGCCGGGAUGAUAAUGACAGUACCGGGUGAAGAAGCUCCGGCUAACUCCGUG